UUGUUAUCAAGCAGAAAAUUCAAGAAAUUCUUGUAGCGUACGAUAUCACUUCUGAACAAAUCAUUAGUGUAACCUGCGAUAAUGGGGCAAAUAUGUUGGCAGCUGUUAGACAGCUAGACCAAGAUAUGCACGCAUCAAAGCUCCAACAAUCCAUGCUUGAGAGCGACGAUGAAAACGAUGAUGAGGACUUUUUGGGUGAUAUUAUUGAGGAGUUUGCCCCGACAGUAAAUUUAGUUCAAUGUUCCGUCCACACUCUGCAAUUGGCGGUGGUUGAUGUGGUGAAACCGAACGACGACCAGCAUUACGAAAGUUGCGAAAAAUUGCAGAAAAGCUUUAUACAAACCUUCGUUUGAGAUGGAGAAGUUCCUCUUCCACCGCUGUACGCGAAAACUAGGUGGGGAGGAAUUUACGAAAUGAUCGUCAAUUUCUACGACAAUGAAAAAUUUUAAAGAGAUCUAGGAAAAAAGUUCAGCGAGCUUGAUCUAUCGAAAUUCUGGAAUUUUAUUCACGAAUUCAAAACUGCUUUACACCCCGUUUAUAUCUGCACUAAGUUGAUGCAGGCGAAACAUAUAACUUUGUCGGAGUUUUUUAUCGAAUGGCUUCGGUGCAUGAUGGAACUAAAGCAGCUUACCUCAAGUGACUUAGCUGAAUCAUUGGUAGCAUCGCUGAAUAGGAGACUCGAACUUCUCCGCGAAAAUUUACCGUUUAAAGCUGCUUUGUUAAUUGACCCGAGACUAAACUAUUUAUCUUCAACUGUUCUCUCUCUAGAAGAAAAGCAAGAGGCUAAACGUUUCAUCUUUGAUACAUAUGAGCGAAUGAAAUCUGUUAAACCUAAACAAUCAUUGGAUGCAACCGCUCCUGCCGAAAAUAAAAACACAUCAAACAAACCUCUUUGGAGGUUCGUUCCCAUCUACCGGUUCUGAAUCCUCAGAGAGCAAACUUGAAAAACAAGUCAGCUCUUUGGAUUUGGAAUCACAUAAACCACACAGCUUUGACAUAUGGAAGCACUGGAAAGAACGAAGAGAUUCGCAUCCUGAGCUUUCGAAGUUGGCCCUCGCUAUUUUAUCAAAUCCAGCAACCCAAGCCUCUGUCGAGAGAGCAUUUAGUGCUCUAGCACUUGUGUUGUCAGAUGCCAGAACAAAACUGAGUGAGGAAAAUUUAUCAAAAAUUUUAAUUAUUAAAUUGAACGAGGAGUUACUAGAUGUCAUUGUCCCUUAUAUGAACGAUUGGAAACAAUUCAAAGGAUUGGAUACACUCGCAAAAAUAAAAUUUCUA
Wyeomyia smithii (pitcher-plant mosquito) is the source of this 1275-nucleotide long non-coding RNA. RefSeq lists it as uncharacterized. NCBI's taxonomy places the organism in Eukaryota, Metazoa, Arthropoda, Insecta, Diptera, Culicidae. The transcript is spliced from 3 exons. The record is from RefSeq and is a predicted model, not a curated record.